Molecule: long non-coding RNA, 1010 nt
Filed under: Equus caballus (horse)
Lineage: Eukaryota; Metazoa; Chordata; Mammalia; Perissodactyla; Equidae
Description: lncRNA (ENSECAG00000059247.1)
Source: RNAcentral
UGUGACAACCUGAACGAAUCUCUAGAGACUUAUGCUGGGUCAAAAAGCCAACUCUAAAUCAUCAUACAUACUGUAUGAUUCCAUUUAUAUACCAUUCUUGAAAUGAUGAAAUUAUAGAAAUGGAGAAAAGAUUAGAGGUUAAGGAGAGGUAGCAAUGGAAGGGAAGUGAGUGUGGCUGUCAAAGGGCUGAGGGAUCCUUGUGAGAAUGGAAAUAUUUUGAGUCUUAGCUAUAUCAGUGUCAAUAUCCUGGUGUGAUAUAGUUCCAUAAUUUUGCAAGAUGUUACCAUUGGGAGAAACUAGAUAAACGGUACAUGGAAUCUCCAUUCUUUCUUACAACUACAUGAGAAUCUACAAUUACCUCAAAAUAAAAAGCUGAAUAAAGAAGUUGCCUGACCUUCAGUGACUUCCAGAACUGACCUGAAAAUAGAGAAAGGAGGAGAUUGAGAAUAGGAUUUGUUAACUUGAAGAAUGAUUUUCAGCACACUUCUCAAACUCUUCUGAAUUUUUUCCUUCUGAUUUUUAUUAUGGACUAUAGUGCAUUCUUAGGCUAUUUUUUUGGGGAUAAAAGUCACCUCUCCAUCAUAGGACUUCUGCUUUGCAAACCAUAGUAAUUUUAAAAUCUAUCAGCUGACUGAGAUUCCACAGGAUCGGAUUGUCGCAAUCUAUUUUUUUUUUUUUUUGAGGAAGAUCAGCCCUGAGCUAACAUCUGCCAUCAAUCCUCCUCUUUUUGCUGAGGAAGACUGGCCCUGAGCUAACAUCUGUGUCCGUCUUCCUCUACUUUAUAUCUGGGACACCUACUACCUCAUGGCCUGUCGAGCGGUGCCAUGUCCUCCCCUGGGAUCUGAACCGGUGAGCCCCGGGCCGCUGAAGCAGAACGUGCGCACUUAACUGCUAUUCCACGGGGCGGCACCUGUCACAAUCUAUUUUUAAAGUCAGAGAGGAGUUUUUAUUAUCCUUCUUUUCUCUUUUUCCUUCUUUUUUCCCUUAUUCUAUUUGAACCAAUAUUGUCC